GGNUUCCGUAGGUGAACCUGCGGAAGGAUCAUUG
Molecule: ribosomal RNA, 34 nt
Filed under: Scorpidium cossonii
Lineage: Eukaryota; Viridiplantae; Streptophyta; Bryopsida; Hypnales; Amblystegiaceae
Description: partial 18S ribosomal RNA
Source: RNAcentral